UGGUGUCAGAAGUAGUCGGACUGCGGCCGACGUACGCAGCCGGUGAAGGAAAAGCGGACUGGUAGCAAGCCAACAAGGGUGGCUCGAAGGUCCGAACUAGUACGAGAACGGGGAACAGCGCCAGCAGACCAGCGCCCCAGUCGCCACGCUACUGCCACCGCCGAGAGUCCUGGACACCACAGGAGACGCAUGGUAAAGUUGGAAGACGUGGCGGCAGCAGUUCGAGCUCUUCGCAACGGCAACGUACCUAAACCAGCAACCCAAAGAGAGACUUAUGGGCCGACAGGCGAGGACGCUGCUACUAGUCGCAGAAAGCCACCUGCGACCGCAAACCAUACCCCUUCAAGACGUGCAACGGCGGCUCCGCGACAUCAGGCGUAAACAACGUUCCUUCUACAACCGAGUCACAAGGCUGAGCUUCCUGAUAGCUCCCGCGUCACAGUGUACAGCAUGCCAUCAAAAACCUGGUCCACUGCAACAGUUGUCAAGCCUGCCAACAGCCGAGAGCCUACAUUAUCGAAACCGAAGAUGGGCUCCAGUUGCAGCGCACCAGAGAACACCUGCGUCUGGCACCAACUCCUGCGGCAGACUCAUUGGCGCCCACCCUAGAACAUCGACUCACGGGGGGAGGCACAGAGCCACAACUGCGUAGAAGCGAACGCAACCGCCGACCACCACGAAGAUACCCGAUGCCAGAACUUGAGUGAUUUUGAUUUAAUAAAAAAAAAAGCAGAUCUGACGCAAUGUCUUGCACACGCGCACUCAGUUGGCUCUAACGCCCCAUUUGAUAGUAUGUACGUGUGUGUGUAUGUAAGUAUGAAGAGUGUGUUUCGUUCAAUAAAGGCCCUUUCUCUUGA
Long non-coding RNA from Dermacentor andersoni, 857 nucleotides. RefSeq lists it as uncharacterized. Lineage: Eukaryota; Metazoa; Arthropoda; Arachnida; Ixodida; Ixodidae. The record is from RefSeq and is a predicted model, not a curated record.